GUUUGAUCCUGGCUCAGAAUGAACGCUGGCGGCGUGCUUUACACAUGCAAGUCGAGCGAGGCGUCCCGCAAGGGAUAGUCGAGCGGCGAACGGGUGAGUAACGCGUGGAUAACCUGCCCUGAGGUGGGGGAUAACCAGGGGAAACUCUGGCUAAUACCGCAUGAUACCGAGAGGUCAAAGGGGGCUCGCAAGGGCUCUCGCCAUAGGAGGGGUCCGCGUACGAUUAGCUAGUUGGUAGGGUAAUGGCCUACCAAGGCGACGAUCGUUAGCCGGCCUGAGAGGGUGAUCGGCCACACUGGAACUGAGACACGGUCCAGACUCCUACGGGAGGCAGCAGUGGGGAAUUUUGCGCAAUGGGCUAACGCCUGACGCAGCAACGCCGCGUGGAGGAUGAAGGUCCUUGGAUUGUAAA
Molecule: ribosomal RNA, 412 nt
Filed under: uncultured bacterium
Lineage: Bacteria
Description: bacterial SSU rRNA
Rfam family: Bacterial small subunit ribosomal RNA
Source: RNAcentral